AACGAACGCUGGCGGCAUGCCUAACACAUGCAAGUCGAACGAGACCUUCGGGUCUAGUGGCGCACGGGUGCGUAACGCGUGGGAACUUGCCCUUAGGUUCGGAAUAACUCCCCGAAAGGGGUGCUAAUACCGGAUAAUGUCUUCGGACCAAAGAUUUAUCGCCUUUGGAUGGGCCCGCGUUGGAUUAGCUAGUUGGUAGGGUAAAAGCCUACCAAGGCGACGAUCCAUAGCUGGUCUGAGAGGAUGAUCAGCCACACUGGGACUGAGACACGGCCCAGACUCCUACGGGAGGCAGCAGUGGGGAAUAUUGGGCAAUGGGCGAAAGCCUGAUCCAGCAAUGCCGCGUGAGUGAUGAAGGCCUUAGGGUUGUAAAGCUCUUUUACCCGGGAUGAUAAUGACAGUACCGGGAGAAUAAGCUCCGGCUAACUCCGUG
This 433-nucleotide ribosomal RNA is filed under the name uncultured bacterium. RNAcentral describes it as "partial 16S ribosomal RNA". It matches the Rfam family "Bacterial small subunit ribosomal RNA", at positions 29 to 507 of the family's 1533-position model. The record is from RNAcentral.